UACGUAGGGUGCGAGCGUUAAUCGGAAUUACUGGGCGUAAAGGGCGCGUAGGCGGCUCGGCACGUCCGUUGUGAAAUCGCCCGGCUCAACUGGGCGGGGUCAGCGGAUACGGUCGAGCUUGAGCAAGCUAGGGGGCAAUGGAAUUCCUGGUGUAGCGGAGAAAUGCGCAGAUAUCAGGAGGAACACCGGUGGCGAAGGCGGGACUCUGGGCCGAUACUGACGCUGAGGAGCGAAAGCGUGGGGAGCAAACAGG
RNAcentral lists this ribosomal RNA (253 nucleotides) under uncultured bacterium. RNAcentral's name for it is "partial 16S ribosomal RNA". It matches the Rfam family "Bacterial small subunit ribosomal RNA", at positions 524 to 776 of the family's 1533-position model. The record is from RNAcentral.